Molecule: transfer RNA, 82 nt
Filed under: Parasteatoda tepidariorum (common house spider)
Lineage: Eukaryota; Metazoa; Arthropoda; Arachnida; Araneae; Theridiidae
Description: transfer RNA serine (anticodon UGA)
Rfam family: tRNA
About the family: Transfer RNA (tRNA) molecules are approximately 80 nucleotides in length. Their secondary structure includes four short double-helical elements and three loops (D, anti-codon, and T loops).
Source: RNAcentral
GCAGUCGUGGCCGAGUGGUUAAGGCAAAAGACUUGAAAUCCAUUGGGGUCUCCCCGCGCAGGUUCGAAUCCUGCCGGCUGCG